This is a long non-coding RNA of Sander lucioperca (pikeperch), 253 nucleotides long. RefSeq lists it as uncharacterized. The transcript has 3 exons. NCBI's taxonomy places the organism in Eukaryota, Metazoa, Chordata, Actinopteri, Perciformes, Percidae. The record is from RefSeq and is a predicted model, not a curated record.
AGUUUGAGGAUGUGCAGCAUAGGCGUAAUUGCAGGGGGGUCGGGACCUACCCAAUCUGAGGGUUGUCUCCCCCUAAAAAAAUCAUUAAAUAACACGCUGUGUAUUGUAAAUAAUGUAAUAAUAUAUAAUUAAAAUAAUUGUGUAAGUAGUAAAACAAUAUAAACGGGGCAAAAAUUGCGUUUUAAGUUUAAAAAUAUAUUGAGCCCCCUUCCUUACCUCAUAGUGGUUUGGUCCGUUUGGUGGGAGCUGCGUU